RNAcentral lists this ribosomal RNA (253 nucleotides) under uncultured bacterium. Its description in RNAcentral is "partial 16S ribosomal RNA". It matches the Rfam family "Bacterial small subunit ribosomal RNA", at positions 524 to 776 of the family's 1533-position model. The record is from RNAcentral.
UACGUAGGGGGCAAGCGUUGUUCGGAUUCAUUGGGCGUAAAGGGUGCGUAGGUGGCGCCGUAAGUCAGGUGUGAAAUCUCGGGGCUCAACCCCGAGACUGCACUUGAUACUGCGGUGCUCGAGUACUGGAGAGGAGAUUGGAAUUUACGGUGUAGCAGUGAAAUGCGUAGAUAUCGUAAGGAAGACCAGUGGCGAAGGCGAAUCUCUGGACAGUUACUGACACUGAGGCACGAAGGCCAGGGGAGCAAACGGG